Erinaceus europaeus (western European hedgehog) is the source of this 852-nucleotide long non-coding RNA. RefSeq lists it as uncharacterized. The record is from RefSeq and is a predicted model, not a curated record. The transcript has 5 exons. NCBI's taxonomy places the organism in Eukaryota, Metazoa, Chordata, Mammalia, Eulipotyphla, Erinaceidae.
AUGUGAGUUCCUCUAGCUUCUGUUCCUGGAUCUGUUUCAGCCCAAUGGUCCUUAGCAUUUGGAUGGCUUCAAAGCGAUGCUGAGGGGCCUCAGGAAACCCAAGCACAGGGCUGCCUCCACAGCAAUUUCGUUCGAUGACUUCUUGAUCAGCGUCUGCAGCACAGACACCAACUUGUCUUCCUUUCCGACUUGCAUCCUCUGAGAGGGAAACAAGGAGAAUUCAAGCUCUUUGUGAGUUCCUGCCAUUCCAUGGAAGCCAGUGGGAAGGGAAAAAAAAAAGGACAAAUAGAGUUGGCAGAACUUCAAACUAAAAGACAAUUACCCAGUCCGAUCCCCUGUGCCUCCCCUUUCUCCACUUUGCUGACUGGAACUGUGAGCUGCUGGAUUUGAACCCAAGCUCAUCUCCAAAGAGUUGAUGUACUCCCGCACCCAUUUUUUCUCUGGAUUGGCACACACCUGCCGGUUCUUUCGGGUAACGAAGCUGUGGGAGAAGAGAAGGAGGACAGAGAGAAAUGGAGAGAGGAGGGAAGACAGAGAAGGGUAGAGAAAGACACCUGAAGACCUGCUUCAUCGCCUGUGAAGAGAUUGCCCUGCAGGUGGGGAGUCGGGGCUCAAAGCGGGAUUCUUACUCCGGUCCUUGCGCUUUGCGCCACCUGUGUUUAGCCCACCGCACUACCGCCAGACUCCCAUCUUUUUCUAUUUCUGUCUGUUUUUAAAUCUGGGGAAAAAUGCCAUCCUGUUUGACUUCUCCCACUCACCCCACCCUGUGCCGUUUUGAGCCUAAAUGCUUCUGUUAAGAAUGAGGAUUUCAUCCUUCCUUUACUAAUGUUUGUUCUCAGGGACACUGCUUUC